Molecule: unclassified non-coding RNA, 274 nt
Filed under: Hevea brasiliensis (rubber tree)
Lineage: Eukaryota; Viridiplantae; Streptophyta; Magnoliopsida; Malpighiales; Euphorbiaceae
Source: RNAcentral
AGAAGAAGUACCACUCCUUCUCCCCCAUCUUUGCCCGCCAUGGAAGAUCCCAUGGCUCACACUUGUUCAAAUCAACAUCUCCAAUCGCCCUCGCGGAGAAUCCAGAAUCCAUGACCUUGUUGCAGAGAUAGUGUGUGAUGAGCUCUUCGUCGGUUGGGUGGAACCGGAAACCCGGAGGCAAAUCCAUGCCCUCCUCCUCCCUGCCAAGGACCAAGCCGCCAUGCUCCAUAGCUUAAGAGGACAUGAAAGUUUGAAGUCUCUAUCUAACGUCGGA